UUCAAAAGAAGAGUUUAUUGACUUGACGUAGCUACCUCUUGACGAGGUUGACAAAAAAAUUUACUAACAAGGAAUAGAAUGAAUUUCCAAAACAAAAUAUGAACCAUGUUAAAAUUUUGGAAGGUAUGGGAUGUACUGCAUAGGCAAAAUCAUAAGAGGAUGGAAAGAGACACCGUAUAAAAGAACAAAACAAAUAAAACGAGUGCUUACAAAAAAAUAGAAAGAUUGAUAGCUCUUCGAAAAAGUUGUUUAAA
This 254-nucleotide small RNA is filed under the name Arabidopsis thaliana (thale cress). RNAcentral's name for it is "ATSL262210". Lineage: Eukaryota; Viridiplantae; Streptophyta; Magnoliopsida; Brassicales; Brassicaceae. The record is from RNAcentral.